GAUGAACGCUGGCGGCGUGCCUAAUACAUGCAAGUCGAGCGAACAGAUAAGGAGCUUGCUCCUUUGACGUUAGCGGCGGACGGGUGAGUAACACGUGGGUAACCUACCUAUAAGACUGGCAUAACUCCGGGAAACCUGGGAUAAUGCCGGAUAACAUUUAGAACCGCAUGGUUCUAAGGAGAAAGAGGGUUUUGCUAUACCUAAUAGAGGUUCCCGCGCCGGAUUAGCUAGUUGGUAAGGUAACGGCUUACCAAGGCAACGAUACGUAGCCGACCUGAGAGGGUGAUCGGCCACACUGGAACUGAGACACGGUCCAGACUCCUACGGGAGGCAGCAGUAGGGAAUCUUCCGCAAUGGGCGAAAGCCUGACGGAGCAACGCCGCGUGAGUGAUGAAGGUCUUCGGAUCGUAAAACUCUGUUAUUAGGGAAGAACAAAUGUGUAAGUAACUGUGCACGUCUUGACGGUACCUAAUCAGAAAGCCACGGCUAACUACGUG
RNAcentral lists this ribosomal RNA (497 nucleotides) under uncultured bacterium. RNAcentral describes it as "partial 16S ribosomal RNA". It matches the Rfam family "Bacterial small subunit ribosomal RNA", at positions 28 to 507 of the family's 1533-position model. The record is from RNAcentral.